CCUUUGAACAAUUUGAGGUGAGAAACCACCAUUCACACCUUUACUUUUGCUAUACUUGUUAGUUUGUCGCCUGGGAUAUGGGCCAUCUCACCCUAAGCACUUAGCGGAAUGUUGCUGAAGUCCAGUACCGGCUGUCAUUUGUUUAUGCAAUUGAGCCUCUGUUGUAUUGGAGUCCAUUCUCCUUGCAGCUGCCCACAAUUUUAGCAUUCCUUCUUUUGAUUCAAGUGUCAGCGUUUUGAGAGUCCUUUUUUUUCCUUCAUUUGUCGGUAGCUAGGCAAGGUCAACUGGAAGUUGUCUUUGAUUUAUGGAGGAAAUUAUGGAGAUUGGACGUAAAUGAUAUUGGAUUGCAGUUUGGGAUAUGAUUCAUGUUGCAAUUUUAUGAUGGAACGCCUUGUCUUCUCUCCUGUGAACGAUUCUCUUUACUCCAGGUUAAAACCAGGAUUUCCUGACACUUUCAGAUAGCACUAAUCAGAUGCUGGGCUUUCACCUUUACUAUAUACUCCCUACUUUUCUUAAUCUAACGUUCAAACAGCAUUUAGUUGUGCAAACUUAUGCUUCAUAAUUAUGGUUGAGGACAUAAACAAGUUUAACUCAGUAGGUGGUUUAGAAAUGAGAAUUCUAAGAAUUCUCAUGAGAAGAUUUAAGAAUUUGCUGGAAUUGAACUAGAGUUAAUUGGGUAAGCACGACUAGAAUGUAAAUUGAGAUGGAAUAUGGUUGUUAAUACUUCAUUGGAUUCCAAGUCAAAAAGGCAUUAGUGGAUAUGUAGAGAGCGUGAUUCUAAUGCUGGUUUGGCUGUUUUGGUCUUAUACAAUGGGUGGUUGUUAUGGAAUUCACAAGCUACUGAUUAGUGGAUAUCUUUCUGGGACAACUUUUAAUAAGCAAAAAACUUUCUUUAUGCCUAACUUUUGCAUUUGACUUCUUUAUAUUUUUGUUUGGCCUGAGAACAUUAAUCUCUAUGACAUGACUGUUAUUUUGGUGGAGAAAUCCACAUAAAUUGGCAGACGACAUUUUCAGUCAGAUUCUUUCAUACUGAUGAUGAUUGAAGUAUUGUAUUUUAUUCAUCUGUAUUUUUGUUGUUAGUAUAUUUCUUGUUGACCUGGAGGAUAGGGCUACAAUUUCACAAAUCUUCACUGUUGCCAAAAGUAGCACAUUCUCUUGUUGCUUAUUAGCUGUUGUCAAGAUGCCCAAAUUUGUUAGUGUUGACACUG
RNAcentral lists this unclassified non-coding RNA (1208 nucleotides) under Hevea brasiliensis (rubber tree). Lineage: Eukaryota; Viridiplantae; Streptophyta; Magnoliopsida; Malpighiales; Euphorbiaceae. The record is from RNAcentral.